This 434-nucleotide ribosomal RNA is filed under the name uncultured bacterium. RNAcentral's name for it is "bacterial SSU rRNA". It matches the Rfam family "Bacterial small subunit ribosomal RNA", at positions 56 to 507 of the family's 1533-position model. The record is from RNAcentral.
UGCAAGUCGAACGAAGUUUUUCUUUCGGGAGGAACUUAGUGGCGGACGGGUGAGUAACGCGUGGGUAACCUGCCCUGUACAGGGGGACAACAGCUGGAAACGGCUGCUAAUACCGCAUAAGCCCUUAGCACUGCAUGGUGCAUAGGGAAAAGGAGCAAUCCGGUACAGGAUGGACCCGCGUCUGAUUAGCCAGUUGGCAGGGUAACGGCCUACCAAAGCGACGAUCAGUAGCCGAUCUGAGAGGAUGUACGGCCACAUUGGGACUGAGACACGGCCCAGACUCCUACGGGAGGCAGCAGUGGGGAAUAUUGCACAAUGGAGGGAACUCUGAUGCAGCGACGCCGCGUGAGUGAAGAAGUAUUUCGGUAUGUAAAGCUCUAUCAGCAGGGAAGAAAAUGACGGUACCUGACUAAGAAGCACCGGCUAAAUACGUG